This is a long non-coding RNA of Zeugodacus cucurbitae (melon fly), 5613 nucleotides long. RefSeq lists it as uncharacterized. Lineage: Eukaryota; Metazoa; Arthropoda; Insecta; Diptera; Tephritidae. The record is from RefSeq and is a predicted model, not a curated record. The transcript is spliced from 4 exons.
UAAACAUUUUUACAUAUUAAUUCAAUAUAAGUAUAAAACGUCAAGCGUUUUAAACAUUUUAAAACUAUUUUUGAAAAAUGAGAUACAUCGUUGUUUCUUACGUCUAGGUAACAAGCCUUUUAAACAUUUUUACAUAUUAAUUCAAUAUAUGUAUAAAACAUCAAACAAAUUAUUUAAAAAUUAAAAAAAAAAUUAUUCGGGUUUCGAUUUAAUAGCAAAUAAUGAAUUUGUUAAAACUUGUAUUGCUUUCAUUUGUUUUACCUCGCUCAUAUCGUUCAUGAUAGAGGUCAACAUAACACCAAACGACCUCACCGCCUCGCUGCCUUUGCUCCUCUCUGCACACAUGCUUUUGUAUAGCACGCACGCUUCUUUGAAGCAGCCGUCGUCAUCGCUGUUUGUUUUCUUUACUCUUUUCCGGAUCGGAGUUGAAAACGACAACUCCGAAGGCGACGAUAAAUUAGUCUGAGAACUAAUUGGCUCCAACAGCUCCUGCGAAAACAUAUCAUCGCUUGAUUAAAAUCCUGUUGAUCCAAACGGUUGUUAUUUUUUGGGUGUGUUCGCCUUCUAUCUGGCACCGAUCCGGCUCGAUUGGACCAAAAUGUUGAGGUAUUCAACUUCGAAAUAGUCGGUUGCCAAAUAAAAGAGAUGAUUUCGUUUUCAAUAUCAAAAUUCACAAUUUAUAUUAUAUGGGGUAUAUACAAUAUGUUUGGGUUAAUUUAUAUAAGAGUGUGUGUGUAUGUUUGUUAUAAAUGAGAGGGUGGGUUAGGUAAAAUAUCACCGUAUAUAAUACCUUAAGUGUUAAUUACAAUUGAAAUUAUAUCUUAAUCUUGUAUAUGACCUGUGGUGGGUAUUCCCGCGUUGGUUGGAUGGUUAUUUCCUGAUCCUGAUUAUUGUGGUGAUCGAGUGGUUGGUUGUCCGUCCGCUUAUUUUGCACUUCCUUUGCUUGUUGUAUUCUCAUUAGAUAUGUUGGUGCGGUUGGUGUUUCUGCAUUGUCCUCUAAUUCGUCUUUCGACCAGUUUAGAGGACAAUGCAGGGAUGUGUUCAUUUGGUAUGAACAACUCUCUUUAGCAAGAGUUGUUGCGAGAGUAUAAAAAAAAUCAGCCUGUACGUUGUAUAUUAUUAAAGAAAAUGAAUUAUAAUUACGUUAAAAAAAUAAUUGCGUAUAUAUUUAUAAAUUACCGUACAAAGUUUUAUUUUAAGAUUUUUUUUGGUGUACGCAGAUAUACGCUUAAAUAUUAACAUAAAAGUAAUAAAUAAAAGGACUCAAGAGAGUUCUAACUUCAACCGUGGGGGAAUUAUGUACUUUAGAUGACAUUCCACUCAUAUAGGAAAUCACAAUCAACCAAUCAAUCCAGUCGGAAAGCCUGAAACUAGACUUCAUAAAAAUUCCCGCCAGUAAACACCUCCCUCAACCUUCCCCGCCAAGUUCGACCCAUCCGUGCAGAAGCUCAAGGAGAGGUACCUCCAGCGAUGGGAUAGCCAAGGGGACAUGGUGAUCGUCCAAUAACUUCGGGAUGAGGUCAAAGUGUGCGAGGAUUCGAGGAGUGCUCAUGCACGCACCAUUUCGCAUUUCGUUGCAUAAGUUCAUACCCGGUAGGCGUUACGCGCGCUUGAGAAACGCCAGCGUUUUUAAUAAGGAGAAAGGAUGGACUUAAAGGUUUAUAUAUGAUGCUAGCAAACCCGGCCACGCGUUUUUAUGGCUAAGAUAUUAUAUUAUAGAAAAGUUUUCAAUAUAGUGAAAUAUAUUCUUACACAUAAAGACGAAAACGUUAUAGCCGGUAAAUGUGAAAAUUAUUGAUAUAUAAUUUUGUAGAUCUGAGCUUAGCGCAAAUCGACAUAACUAAUAAUUUUGUAUUUUUUAAUGUUAUAUUAAAGUAUGUACUGUAUGAACUGUCGAAAAGUUGUAUAUAUUAGCAGUUAUUUACCAAUACCAGGGUUAGGAAAUUCUGCUCCAUUUUUAUCCGUUUUUUUUAUUUUUUUAUUGACAAAAUAGCUCGCUAAAUUUAAAUUAAAAUCUUGCAUCCGUUUCUUUAGUUAUCUUUUUCAGUUGCAUAUAUAGAGAUGCUGAUCUCUUUACUUCACGUAAUGGAUUUCAAAUACGUACGACUGAAGAAAACUAAGUCCACAGAAAUAGCAGUAACAUCCUAGCAAGUCAUUGGUACUGAAAUUCCAACAGAUUCAAAGAAAUUUCCAUAACACCACUACAUACACACAUACGGAACAAAUGGUAAAAUGUGGAUAAACAUUUAACUCAACUCUUCUCUCGUACAGCACCCUGAAUGAGAGAAAGAAACAACCGAAGUUCUCGUGUGUUUGAACAAGUUUAGUAUUGAGCUACAGUGGAACUUCCAUAACUCGAAGAUCCCCAUAAUUGGCAAUAGCGUUUUGAAGCUAAAUUGAAUACAUAUUUUCUUCCUUAACUCGAAGUUCUCCAUAACUCGAACUCUUGAAUUGGCAAUAGAAGUCAAAUUUCAUACAAAUUUCCUUCCAUAAAUCGAACUUUUUGGUUAGGGCGUAAUACAAAAUUUACAAUUUCACUAUCGAGACAGAAUUUUAAAAGAGUCCCUCUAUAUUGUACGGAUGCGAACAAACAAUAUGAUAUUACACUUAUGGAUUGCAUAAAUGAUCUAACGAAAGCAUGGGAUAUAGACGUCAAGCGCCAAACAAUAGCAAAUUGUAACAAACGAAAUACAGAAUGCAUAUUUUAACGAAUAUAAAAAUAAUAUUUCAUCUUACUGUAAAUGCGAUAUACGCAAUAGAAGCAACAACAACAAUAGUCAACAAAAAGGGCGUAAACAUGGAAUGUGUAAAUACUUGUUGAAUAGAAUAAUAUUAUCUUGACUUAAAACGCAACUAAUUUCCCAUACAGAUAUUUCAAACCUCACACGGCGCGUUAAAGGUACGCAACCUAAUUGAUGUCACUCAUGGUAGCUGCGCAAAAUUUUCGAAGGGAUGGAAGUAUGUGCUACAAGCAAAUCCAGAAUUACGGAGGCACAUGCUGCUACAUCGAUCACAAAUUUACACAUCAGAUAUUUGGUUUAAUGUCACAUUUUUUACGUGCAAUUAAACCUUUUGGUCAACACAAGCACGUGAAGAAUUGGAGCGACAUGGUUUAGGUGCUUUUGUAACAGUUUAUCAUCUCGACGUGUCUCAACUGAGUUUUGCCAAUGAGCUAGAGGGCAAAGCAGAUGCAUUUUUAGACCUAAGUUGGCCGUACCAUUAGCAGUUAAAACAGAAAUCAGAGGGAGGCCCUUUUUUGAUUCAUUUUCACCUUGUAUUGAGAAAUGAUAACGUUGUUGUAUCGCCUUACAAGGACAUGGAUUCACCGAAAUUAGUUCCAUGGGAAUACUACAGCAAAAGCAUGGAUGUUAAGACUGGAAUGGUGUCCGUGGUAGAUUAGUAUUCCUGAAGUAUAAGUUUGCUGGUCUGGUCGAAAAGUUCGAUUUAUGGAAGAACAUUUGUAUGGAAUUUGCCUUCUAUUGCCACUUCAAGAGUUUGAGUUAUAGAAGUUCGAGUUAUGGAAAGAAAUUUGUACGAAAAUUGGUUCCUAAACGCUAUUGCUAACUCAAAAGUUCAAGUUAUGGAGAUCUUCGAGUUAUAGAAGUUCGAGUUAUGGAAGUUCCUCUGUAUAUUAAACUGCUGCACAAGCAGGCUUAAGCUCCAGUUACCCAUACUUGACUUGACUCAGCUUCGAAAAAUUUGACUUGGAAAACUUAGAUGCAGUUAUAUUAAACACAGCGCGUAGAAAUCAGCUGUUUUUGAAUGUUGAGAGAGCACACAAAUGUGACAUUUUAAUUGAUUUGUGAAGUUUGUGAAAAUUUAAUAAAUAAUAAAACAAAUUGUUUUACCGAAUACCUUAAUAAUAAUAAUAAAUUUUAAUAAUGGAUAGUGAUUUAUUCCAAGAACUUGUUUAUUUAAAUAUUCUUCGCCUUCAAAGAAGAAAAGUUUUGAGAAGACGUAAACGCCGCUGGUCCGUUCAUCCAGCUAAUCGGGAUAGAAACCCAAAUGGUUUCUUCUGGAAGAACUUUUUAAAAUUAAAAGAAGACGACCAAAAACUAUUUCUUUUAACACGGAUGAAUCGGACAGUGUACAAUAUUCUUUUAAAUAUAAUUAGUCCGUUUUUUAAAAAACCAAAACAACAAGUUGGCGUCGAGGAGCGAGUGGUUAUAACAUUAAUGUACCUCGCUUAUGGAACACCUUUUGAGGUCAUAGCCUCGAUGCAUAAGUUAGGCAAAACAACAGUGUGGAAUAUCGUACUUGAAACGUGUGAAAUACUUUGGUUACAUCUGUCCCCGAUAUACCUUAGCGAGCCAAGUACCGCACAAUAUAAAGAUAUUGCUGCAGAUUUUUUAAAACUGUGGAAUAUACCCAACUAUAGCAAUCUAAAUUUGGUAAAGCGCUCUUGAAAACAAAUUGCCACUACCACCAAGAGCUCCAUUGUGGAAUGAAUCCUCAACAGAUUUUCCACAUUUUUUUGUGGCCGACGCAGCGUUUCCGUUGAAGGAAAACUUAAUGCGACCUUACCCCGGUGCACAGCUGCCACGAAACAAAGCAAUUUUCAAUUACCGGUUAUCGCGAGCUCGUAGAGUAAUCGAAAAUAGCUUUGGUAUUUUAACCGCUCGAUGGCGUGUUCUACGAAAGGUCAUAGACUUUAGCCCAAAGAACUGCGAAACAAUUGUGUUAACCUGCUUGGUUCUUCACAUUUUUGUAAUGUUGAAUGACCAUGAUCGUUGGUAUUGUCCAGAUACAUUUGUAGACACAGACACCGCAGACCAUGGAAUAUUGGAGGGAGAAUGGCGUGAAGAUUUAGAGAGUGUUGGAGGUGCAUUACAUUCAAUAAGUUCAACUCGACGCAAUGCAUCUUGUAUCGCAUUCCGUGUAAGGGAUUUUUUGGCAGAAUAUUUUAUUAACCAGGGAGCAGUUUCAUUUCAAGAAGAUCGUAUUUAGUGUAUAUUUAUUUUAUUUAUAUUUAUAUUUAUUUAUAUCGUAUUUAAUGUGUAAAAUUGUAAUCCAAGUAUGAAGUACUAUACUUUUUGUUACGUUAACUUUUUUAUGAUAUUUUAUUAAACCAUAUGUUUACAUGACUUAGUAACAUAUUUUUCCGCGCUUUGUAUGUGUGUGGUGAAUCUUAGUAACCCUCAUUAAUUUUAUUAAACUUGUAACAAACCAAUUGUAUUUCAUCAAAGAGAAUUUCCAUUUAAUAAACCUAAUAAUAAUUUUUAUAACGUUUUACAAAUAUCGUGUGUUUGCCCCUUUCACAUACUGGUUAUAAUUCCGCACGUAAGUAUACCUGUGUCAUACGUAUACACCAUAGAUAUAUCUAUAAAUAUUGUUUUAUUUACUGAAAAAGAUGUUAAUUAUCUGUAUUAGGAAGAUUACACAGGCAUAUGGCAAAUGAAUUCUGUAUAGUAAAGUUUAUUACGAAAAUAUAUAUGUAUAUAUUUUAUUUACCGACAAAAUCAUAAUUAUGACGGUAUCUAAUUAGUAAAUAAAAUAAGACAUAGGCUGUAUAAUCAAAUAAAUGUACAUACAAAAUAGGAUAAUUUUUCCCUAUCAAAAUCACUACCAACAUAACUACAUAACACACAAAAAAUAAAAGACAAAGACACAAAA